This 240-nucleotide ribosomal RNA is filed under the name uncultured bacterium. RNAcentral's name for it is "partial 16S ribosomal RNA". It matches the Rfam family "Bacterial small subunit ribosomal RNA", at positions 524 to 763 of the family's 1533-position model. The record is from RNAcentral.
UACGUAGGGUGCAAGCGUUGUCCGGAAUUAUUGGGCGUAAAGAGCUCGUAGGCGGUCUGUCGCGUCGGCUGUGAAAACCCGGAGCUCAACUCCGGGCCUGCAGUCGAUACGGGCAGACUGGAGUUCGGCAGGGGAGACUGGAAUUCCUGGUGUAGCGGUGGAAUGCGCAGAUAUCAGGAGGAACACCGGUGGCGAAGGCAGGUCUCUGGGCCACUACUGACGUGGAGAAGCGAAAGACAU